This 464-nucleotide ribosomal RNA is filed under the name uncultured bacterium. RNAcentral describes it as "bacterial SSU rRNA". It matches the Rfam family "Bacterial small subunit ribosomal RNA", at positions 917 to 1382 of the family's 1533-position model. The record is from RNAcentral.
GGGCCCGCACAAGCAGUGGAGUAUGUGGUUUAAUUCGAUGCAACGCGAAGAACCUUACCGGGGCUUGACAUCCCGCGAAUGACCGAGAGAUCGGUAGUUCCCUUUUGGGACGCGGAGACAGGUGGUGCAUGGUUGUCGUCAGCUCGUGUCGUGAGAUGUUGGGUUAAGUCCCGCAACGAGCGCAACCCCUAUCGUCGGUUGCCAUCAUUCAGUUGGGCACUUUGACGAGACUGCCGGUGAUAAAUCGGAGGAAGGUGGGGAUGACGUCAAAUCAUCAUGCCCUUUAUGUCCCGGGCUACACACGUACUACAAUGGCUGUUACAACGGGAGGCGAAGCCGCGAGGCGGAGCGAAUCCCAAAAAGGCAGCCCCAGUUCGGAUUGCAGGCUGCAACUCGCCUGCAUGAAGUCGGAAUUGCUAGUAAUGGCAGGUCAGCAUACUGCCGUGAAUACGUUCCCGGGCCUU